GCGUCCAUAGCUCAACGGAUAGAGCAUCAGACUUCGGAUCUGAGGGUUGGGGGUUCGAAUCCUCCUGGGCGCGCCA
Molecule: transfer RNA, 76 nt
Filed under: Candidatus Poribacteria bacterium
Lineage: Bacteria; Candidatus Poribacteria
Description: tRNA-Arg
Rfam family: tRNA
About the family: Transfer RNA (tRNA) molecules are approximately 80 nucleotides in length. Their secondary structure includes four short double-helical elements and three loops (D, anti-codon, and T loops).
Source: RNAcentral